Molecule: non-coding RNA, 390 nt
Organism: Passer montanus (Eurasian tree sparrow)
Lineage: Eukaryota; Metazoa; Chordata; Aves; Passeriformes; Passeridae
Source: the annotation of a RefSeq genome assembly
AUGGGGAUGAGGGGAUGGAAAGCUCAGGCUGAGGGAGCGGCCGUGACCCUGCUGGAGUGCGGGGGGGACCUCCAGCCCCCCGGGGGGUCCCUGCGCCUCCUCUGCCGAGGCUCCGGGUUCAGUUUCGGGAGUUAUGCCAUGCAGUGGAUGCGCCAGAGACCCGGGCAGGGGCUGGAGUGGCUCGCAGGGAUCAGCUACAGUGGUGCUUACAUCUACUACGCGCCCUCAGUGCAGGGCCGGUUCACGAUCUCCAGGGACAACGGGCAGAGCUCGGUGACGCUGACCAUGAACAACCUCAAGGACGAGGAUUCCGGAUCCUAUUUCUGUGCCAGGGGUGGUGGUGCUAAUGAUGCCUAUGGUAUUGGCGCCAGCACCAUCACUGUCCCCUGA